Molecule: ribosomal RNA, 449 nt
Filed under: uncultured bacterium
Lineage: Bacteria
Description: partial 16S ribosomal RNA
Rfam family: Bacterial small subunit ribosomal RNA
Source: RNAcentral
AAUGAACGCUGGCGGCAGGCCUAACACAUGCAAGUCGAACGAGGUAGCAAUACCUAGUGGCGGACGGGUGAGUAACGCGUGGGAACGUGCCCCUUGGUACGGAAUAGCCCUGGGAAACUGGGAGUAAUACCGUAUGUGGUCGCGAGACGAAAGAUUUAUCGCCAAGGGAUCGGCCCGCGUUGGAUUAGGUAGUGGGUGGGGUAAUGGCCUACCAAGCCGACGAUCCAUAGCUGGUUUGAGAGGAUGAUCAGCCACACUGGGACUGAGACACGGCCCAGACUCCUACGGGAGGCAGCAGUGGGGAAUCCUAGACAAUGGGGGAAACCCUGAUCUAGCCAUGCCGCGUGAUCGAUGAAGGCCUUAGGGUUGUAAAGAUCUUUCAGUGGGGAAGAUAAUGACGGUACCCACAGAAGAAGCCCCGGCUAACUCCGUGCCAGCAGCCGCAGUAC